AAGGGAAACAUAUUUAGGGCAUGUCUCUAAAAACUGUAUGGGGAAACCAAAACCAAAAUUUUUAUUUCACUCCUUAAAUAGAGGAGGAAUGCAUAAUUAGCACUUAAACUUAUUUACAAGCUGUCUUUAAAGGUAGAACUAGAAUCUCCGUAAAAACAAAGAUGUGUGAUACAAACAUCAUUGAGUCAGUAAUCCGAGGAUCUGAAAUCAAGACCUAAUAUCAGGAUGACCAAUCAUCUCGGGACUGAGGGGUUUCCUGGCAUGUGGGGCUUUUAGUGCUAAAGUUAGGACAGUCCUGGGUGUCCUAAUUUUCUUCAUGUUAUUGAGGAACUGGGGAGAAUCAUUGCUGUGGUUACUUCCAGCCUGAAUGGUUUAUGAUUCUACACAGCAGAGCUGGCUGUUUGCCCCAGAAGCAUCCAAGUGCACCAUGAGGAUGGAUGAUGUCUGCUGUCACCCAUUCUUGCCCUUGAAGGGGAGGGGAUGUCUUCAACAACAUGGAGACACUGAAGUUAUGCUUUGGGAAGUGACCAAUAUAAGCAAAGGAGUUUUGUUUGCCUUAUCUAGGUGCUGUACACUGAAGAAUUUAAGCCUCUGGCUUUGUUUUCUUGGGCUAGAAACAGGGGAAGAUCUUGCUGCCUUGAUCACUGGGGCAGCAAAGAUACUCUGAGGAUAGGGCAGAGAGCACAAAAGGAAAAAGAACUUUCCACUGUAAAUUCCUGGUCAAUUCUGUACGGUCUGAGGGGCAACCUCCAUAGCAACAAUAAAUGAAUGUUUGAAC
This 778-nucleotide long non-coding RNA is filed under the name Vulpes vulpes (red fox). Its description in RNAcentral is "lncRNA (ENSVVUG00000021755.1)". Lineage: Eukaryota; Metazoa; Chordata; Mammalia; Carnivora; Canidae. The record is from RNAcentral.